Molecule: ribosomal RNA, 418 nt
Filed under: uncultured bacterium
Lineage: Bacteria
Description: bacterial SSU rRNA
Rfam family: Bacterial small subunit ribosomal RNA
Source: RNAcentral
UGAUGCAGCCAUGCCGCGUGUGUGAAGAAGGCCUUCGGGUUGUAAAGCACUUUCAGUAGGGAGGAAGGUAGUGUAGUUAACACCUGCAUUAUUUGACGUUACCUACAGAAGAAGCACCGGCUAACUCCGUGCCAGCAGCCGCGGUAAUACGGAGGGUGCGAGCGUUAAUCGGAAUUACUGGGCGUAAAGCGCAUGCAGGCGGCCUGUUAAGUCAGAUGUGAAAGCCCCGGGGCUUAACCUCGGAAUUGCAUUUAGAAACUGGCAGGCUAGAGUCUUGUAGAGGGGGUAGAAUUUCAGGUGUAGCGGUGAAAUGCGUAGAGAUCUGAAGGAAUACCAGUGGCGAAGGCGGCCCCCUGGACAAAGACUGACGCUCAGAUGCGAAAGCGUGGGGAGCAAACAGGAUUAGAUACCCUGGUAG